AGGCAGCAAGUAACACCACUCAUUGUAGCAGAUAUGAGGUGGUUAAGAUCACCAAAAGUUGGAGUAGCAAGCUUCAGAGUGCGGAAGCAGAUGUCAUACAAAGCCUCAUUGUCCAAAACCAUACAUUCAUCGGCAUUUUCCACAAGCUGAUGAACAGAAAGAGUAGCAUUGUAUGGUUCAACAACUGUGUCAGAUACCUUAGGAGAAGGAAAGACCGAAAAUGUCAACAUCAUCCGAUCAGGAUACUCCUCCCUAAUCUUGGAAAUAAGAAGAGUUCCCAUGCCAGAACCAGUGCCUCCACCCAAUGAAUGACAAACUUGAAAUCCCUGUAAGCAAUCACAAUUCUCAGCCUCUUUCCUGACAACAUCAAGCACAGAAUCGAUCAAUUCAGCUCCUUCAGUGUAAUGGCCUUUAGCCCAGUUAUU
RNAcentral lists this unclassified non-coding RNA (425 nucleotides) under Hevea brasiliensis (rubber tree). Lineage: Eukaryota; Viridiplantae; Streptophyta; Magnoliopsida; Malpighiales; Euphorbiaceae. The record is from RNAcentral.